Molecule: ribosomal RNA, 820 nt
Filed under: Clostridioides difficile
Lineage: Bacteria; Bacillati; Bacillota; Clostridia; Peptostreptococcales; Peptostreptococcaceae
Description: bacterial LSU rRNA
Rfam family: Bacterial large subunit ribosomal RNA
Source: RNAcentral
UCUGCUAAGUCGCAAGACGAUGUAUAGGAGCUGACGCCUGCCCGGUGCCGGAGUGUUAAGGGGAUCCGUUAGAGCAAUCGAAGCAGUGAACUUAAGCCCCAGUAAACGGCGGCCGUAACUAUAACGGUCCUAAGGUAGCGAAAUUCCUUGUCGGGUAAGUUCCGACCCGCACGAAAGGCGUAACGAUUUGGGCACUGUCUCAACAACAGACUCGGUGAAAUUGUAAUUCCGGUGAAGAUGCCGGAUACCUGCGACAGGACGGAAAGACCCCAUGGAGCUUUACUGUAGCUUGACAUUGGGUCUUGGUACUACAUGUACAGGAUAGGUGGGAGGCUUUGAAACCAGGACGCCAGUUUUGGCGGAGCCAUCCUUGGGAUACCACCCUUGUAGUACUGGGACUCUAACCAUAGACCAUGAAUCUGGUCUUGGGACACUGUCAGGUGGGCAGUUUGACUGGGGCGGUCGCCUCCCAAAAGGUAACGGAGGCGCUCAAAGGUUCUCUCAGUACGGUCGGAAAUCGUACGUAGAGUGUAAAGGCAAAAGAGAGCUUGAUUGCAAGACAUACAGGUCGAGCAAGGAUGAAAAUCGGACUUAGUGAUCCGGUGGUUCUGCGUGGAAGGGCCAUCGCUCAACGGAUAAAAGCUACCCUGGGGAUAACAGGCUUAUCUCCCCCAAGAGUCCACAUCGACGGGGAGGUUUGGCACCUCGAUGUCGGCUCAUCACAUCCUGGGGCUGUAGUAGGUCCCAAGGGUUGGGCUGUUCGCCCAUUAAAGUGGUACGCGAGCUGGGUUCAGAACGUCGUGAGACAGUUCGGUCCCUA